UGUGUAGGCGGUUCUUUAAGUUUGGUGUGAAAUCUCCCGGCUCAACCGGGAGGGUGCGCCGAAUACUGAGGGACUCGAGUGCGGGAGAGGAAAGUGGAAUUCCUGGUGUAGCGGUGAAAUGCGUAGAUAUCAGGAGGAACACCGGUGGUGUAGACGGCUUUCUGGACCGUAACUGACGCUGAGACACGAAAGCGUGAGUAGCAAACAGGAUUAAGAUACCCGUGGUAGUCCACGCCCUAAACGAUGCAUAUUUGGUGUAGGGUCAUUCAGUUGAUCCGUGCCGGAGCUAACGCGUUAAAUAUGCCGCCUGGGGAGUACAGUCGCAAGGCUGAA
Molecule: ribosomal RNA, 333 nt
Filed under: uncultured bacterium
Lineage: Bacteria
Description: bacterial SSU rRNA
Rfam family: Bacterial small subunit ribosomal RNA
Source: RNAcentral